UAAUAUAAACGGACUUUCCCCGGCAGCUGAAGGCAGAUAAUUCUGAAACAAGGGAAGUAUAAAUUAAUUUUAAUGGGAGUGAGAAGAAGUGAGUGUGGAGUGAGGACCAGGUUCCAACUAUGACCAACCAGAAUUUGCAUCAAGCCACAAAGCGGUCGCUGCCUUUCAUGUCCGCUUUUGCACUCUUCACCAAGCUUCCCUUCAGCUGCAGAGAAACCAAACCGUUCGAUAUUUCGUUUUCUCCACUGCAAAGAGUCAGACAAUGAGAGUCAAGAAUUUAGGAGCAGCUUGGCUGAGUGGUUCCAACUUGAGGUUCCCCAUGAAAUUACAGGUCUGGAGAUGUGUGCACCUCUGAAGAACACGCAGUGAAGAACUGAGGCCUCCACAAGGGUAAAAUAAUAGAAGGCUCUCAACUUGUAAGCCCUAACCGUAACAUAAUGUUCAGCUGUUCAAAGGACACAUUCUGAGUCAUAAUAGUGGCAUUUAGAGGCCAUCAGUCUACUGCAUUGUGACCUUUUGAGAACCAUAACUUCAUUGUGUGUAACUUGUUCCUACUUUCCAACAUCUCAUUUUAUUAUCAUUAUAAAUCAUGUGCAUUUUCUGAGAACUUUAAUUUUCAGGUUGCCAUAAAUAAAAAAAAACGAAGCUCUUCUUUAGAGUUAUAACAACCAGUUGCCCAUGAAGUCAAAUAAAAAUAAAUUACAGUCAAUGAAAGAGCUUAGUAAGUAUCUUAACUGUUCUUGACUACUCUUUCCCAAGAUUAGAAUCAUUUCACAGUACGACAGAAUGUUAAGCAAAGUAAAAAUAUGUAUGUUGGCUCCCAUACAGGGCCUUGCCUGUCUUUGUAAGCCUAAAUGGCUACUGAUCACAUUUUAAGGUCAGUGAAAAGUAAUCUCAAGUUUCACCUGACUUAAGCUGAAGAGAAUAAACAGAACAAUGAGUAAGUAGAAGGAAAUUCUGAGAUAUGAAGGUUUGGGGGGGUGGUUUACUGAGAUGACUUUGAGGGGUAGAGAAUGAUAGAAACUAGUUUUCACUUGUCCAAGGUUUUAUUCAUUCUCCAUAAUGCAGGUUUAUUGUAACUUGAUCUGUAUUCAGUCAUUUUUCUAUCAAUGUAUAUUAUCAUUUUGACUUGUUUUUAACACCCCAUUCUUUUUGAAAAUUAGAAAAUACUUGGGCUCAAUAUUGGAUCUCUAUGGGAGAUUAGCAAUUUAAUAUAGCAGAAGGCUAUAUUGCAAAGCUGCAACAAGAGCUCGGUUGACGGAAAGUAUAAGAAGUGUGUAUAUGGUCAAAGGGGGUCUCAGACAUCUCAUGGAUGAUAACAGCCUACACUGAGCCUUCUUCAGGUUUCUAGACAUAUCAGUGACUAAGAACCUAAGGAUAGUAAUUUUGGAAAACUUUCCACAAUUUGAUAAAAUGUGCCAUAUUUUCAUUCCUAUAAUCUGUUUCAUAUAUUUAAUGCCUGCGGUAAAGCAUUUCUCAAGUGUUCUAUGGGCACUUACGAAUACUUUCGUGAGGAUAAAAUGUAAAAGUAGCUUAUUGUUCUAGCGAGUUCUUCUUGGUGGUUAGUACUGUGGGCAUUUCACAUGAAAUUUCCAAUCUGGCCAUCCAUAUGUUGGUAUAGUCUUUCCCAAAUGUUGGUUUACCAUAACAGAAACAGUCCAGAUAUUGUCUCAAGGAGAAGUUUGGCAUAAUGUACAGUGUAUCUGUAAACAAUCAAGAGCCAAUGAAACAAAUUACAAAACUGCCUUUGGAUGUUUAUUGCACAUGGCACCUAUGAUUGUAUUGAGAAAAUUGCAGGGAACAUAAUAAUAGUUUUAAAAUACCAUUAUAUGUGUUGAGGUAAUUGGAGACAUAGCUAAGUGUCAUAGACAAAACUGUAAAAUCAUUAGUAUACAUAUGGUUUAUUUUCUUUUUCUCUCUCUUUUUUUUUUCAUAAUGGCUCAAGGAAGUGAUUUUGACCAAGAGGAUUGGAGGGUUAUUUUGCUUAAGUAUAGUUUUGAUUCAAUACUGGAAAAUGCCAUUCCUAUAUACCUACACUCAACUUCCAGUGAGUGGAAGUUUUUAUCUUCAUUUAAAAAUAUGAUUAUGUUGGGCGCCUGGGUGGCUCAGUUGGUUAAGUGACUGCCUUCGGCUCAGGUCAUGAUCCUGGAGUCCCGGGAUCGAGUCCUGCAUCGGGCUCCCUGCUCGGCGGGGGGUCUGCUUCUCCCUCUGCCCUCUUCCCUCUCGUGCUCUCUGUCUCUCAUUCUCUCUCUCUCAAAUAAAUAAAUAAAAUCUUUAAAAAAAUAUGAUUAUGUUGGAUAUACUCUUAUUUCAGAAGUUUUAGUUUAGAAAAGAAAAUACAUAUUACCCACUACACUUUAAGACAGACUUUUUUACUUAGUUUAAUCCUGAAGCAUACUAAUACUUACAUUAAAAUAAGUCAAGAUCUCAGCAAACUGGGAAUAGAAGAGAACAUCUUCAACUUGAUAAAAAAAUCUACAAAAAGCCUACAGCUAACAUCAUACUUGGUGGUGAGAAAUUAAAUGCUUUCCCACUAAGCUCAGGGACAAGGCAAGAAUGUCCUCACUACUCCUUAUUCAACAUGGUGCUGUAAGUCCUUGCUAAUCCAGUAAGAACAAUAAAAAAUAAAAAAAAAUUAAAAAAAGACAUCAAAGGUAUACCAUUUUAGAAGGAAGAAAGAAAACUGUCUUUGUUCACAGAUGACAGGAUUAUCUAUGCAGAAAAUCCCAAAGAAUAACAGAAAAAUUCCCAGAACUAAUAAGCAGUUAUAGCAAGGUUACAAGAUCAAGGUUAAUAUACAAAAGCUAAUUACUUUCAUAUACACCAACAAUGAACAAUUGGAAUUUGAAAUUGAAAACACAAUACCAUUUACACUAGCACAAAAAAGAAAAGAAAAAUAAGUAUAACAAAAUAUAUCUAAGAUCUAUAUGAGGAAAACUAGAAAACUGUGAUGAACAAAAUCAAAGAAGAUUUUUUAAAAAGAUCUUAUUUAUUUGUCAGAGAGAGAAAGAGAGAGAGAGAGCACAACAGGGAGAGAGGCAGGCAGAGAAGCAGGCUCCCCAGUGAGCAAGGAGCCCGAUGUGGGACUCAAUCCCAGGAUCUUGGGAUCAUGACCUGAGCCAAAGGUAGAUGCUUAACUGAUUGAGCCACCCAGGGGUCCCAAAAUCAAAGAAGAUUUAAAUAAAUAAAUAGAUUUUCCAUGUGGAUUGGAAAACUCAAUAUUUGUUGUCUGUUUUUCCUGAGUUGAUCUAUAGAUCCAAUACAAGCCCAAUUGAAAUCUGUUAUUUUGUAGAUAUUGACAAACUGAUGCUAAAGUUUAUAUAAAAAGGCUAAAGGCCCAGAAUGCCAGUAAAAUAUUGAAGGAGAAAUAUAAAGUUGGAGGAUUAACACUACUGAACUUGAAGAUUUUCAACAAAUGGUGCUGGAACAACUGGAUAUCCACAUAUAAGAAAAAAAAGAUUCUAGACACAGAGUUUCACAAAAAUUAACUCAAAAUGGAUCAUAGACCUGGAUGUAAAAGGAAAAGCUAUAAAACUUCCAGAAGAUAACAUAGGAGAAAAUCUAGUUGAUCAUAGCUUUGGUGAUGACUUUUUAGAUACUAUACCAAGGCAUGGUCCAUGAAAAAAACAAAACAAAAAACAAAACAGAAGUUGGACUUCAUGAACAUUAAAAACUUCUCUGUAAAAGGUAUUUUAAGAGAAUUCAAAGUUAAACCACCAACUGGGAGAAAAUUCUUUGCAAAACAUAUAUCUGAUAAAGGGCUGGUAUCCAAAAUAUACAAAGAACUCUUAAAAUUCAACAAUAAGAAAACAAACAGUCUAAUUUUAAAAAUGAGCAGAAGAUCUGAACAGACACUUCACCAAAGAAGAUAAGCAGGGAGAUUACUGACAUCAUUUAUCAUUUAGGGAAUUGUAAAUUGAAACAGUGAGAUACCACUACAUACCUAUCAGAAUGGCUAAAGUUGAAAACACAUAACAUCAAAUGCUGAUGAGGAUGUGGAG
Mirounga angustirostris (Northern elephant seal) is the source of this 4001-nucleotide long non-coding RNA. RefSeq lists it as uncharacterized. The record is from RefSeq and is a predicted model, not a curated record. The transcript has 3 exons. NCBI's taxonomy places the organism in Eukaryota, Metazoa, Chordata, Mammalia, Carnivora, Phocidae.